AAGAGGAGUCAAAUGCUUCUUUUCUUAAGGACAAGCUGUGAUGGGGAGGGAAAUAAUAGUACCGAAGUUCCUGAUGUCACACUGCCGAGAAAAGCUUCUAGUGAGAAAACAGCGGCCCGUACCGCAAACCGACACAGGUAGUCGAGGAGAGAAUCCUAAGGUGAGCGAGAGAACUCUCGUUAAGGAACUCGGCAAAAUGACCCCGUAACUUCGGGAGAAGGGGUGCUGAUCAUACGAUCAGCCGCAGUGAAUAGGCCCAAGCGACUGUUUAUCAAAAACACAGGUCUCUGCAAAAUCGUAAGAUGAAGUAUAGGGGCUGACGCCUGCCCGGUGCUGGAAGGUUAAGAGGAGUGCUUAGCGCAAGCGAAGGUACGAAUUGAAGCCCCAGUAAACGGCGGCCGUAACUAUAACGGUCCUAAGGUAGCGAAAUUCCUUGUCGGGUAAGUUCCGACCCGCACGAAAGGCGUAACGAUUUGGGCACUGUCUCAACGAGAGACUCGGUGAAAUUUUAGUACCUGUGAAGAUGCAGGUUACCCGCGACAGGACGGAAAGACCCCAUGGAGCUUUACUGUAGUUUGAUAUUGAGUGUCUGUACCGCAUGUACAGGAUAGGUAGGAGCCGUAGAAAUCGGAACGCUAGUUUCGAUGGAGGCGCUGGUGGGAUACUACCCCUGCGUUAUGGCCACUCUAACCCGCACCACUAAUCGUGGUGGGAGACAGUGUCAGAUGGGCAG
This 733-nucleotide ribosomal RNA is filed under the name Enterococcus faecium. Its description in RNAcentral is "partial 23S ribosomal RNA". It matches the Rfam family "Bacterial large subunit ribosomal RNA", at positions 1528 to 2268 of the family's 2925-position model. Lineage: Bacteria; Bacillati; Bacillota; Bacilli; Lactobacillales; Enterococcaceae. The record is from RNAcentral.